AGCACAGUCGUAGCGAUACGAUGGGUGGCGAGUGGCGGACGGGUGAGGAAUACAUCGGGACCUAGCCUAGACGUGGGGGAUAACGUAGGGAACUUACGCUAAUACCGCAUACGUCCUACGGGAGAAAGCGGGGGAUCUUCGGACCUCGCGCGAUUAGACGGACCGAUGUUCGAUUAGCUAGUUGGUGGGGUAACGGCUUACCAAGGCGACGAUCGAUAGCUGGUCUGAGAGGAUGAUCAGCCACACUGGGACUGAGCCACG
Molecule: ribosomal RNA, 261 nt
Filed under: uncultured Gammaproteobacteria bacterium
Lineage: Bacteria; Pseudomonadati; Pseudomonadota; Gammaproteobacteria
Description: partial 16S ribosomal RNA
Rfam family: Bacterial small subunit ribosomal RNA
Source: RNAcentral